RNAcentral lists this ribosomal RNA (420 nucleotides) under uncultured bacterium. Its description in RNAcentral is "bacterial SSU rRNA". It matches the Rfam family "Bacterial small subunit ribosomal RNA", at positions 28 to 475 of the family's 1533-position model. The record is from RNAcentral.
GGCUAACGCUGGCGGCGCGCCUAACACAUGCAAGUCGAACGAACCCUUCGGGGUUAGUGGCAGACGGGUGAGUAACGCGUGGAUAAUGUGCCUUCUUGCUGGGGAUACCGUUUCGAAAGGAACGUUAAUACCGUAAUGUGCUCAUUUGGUCGCAUGGCCGAGUGAGUAAACUUUCAGGGCGAGAAGAGCAGUCCGCGUUCUAUCAGCUUGUUGGUGGGGUAACGGCCUACCAAGGCUACGACGGAUAACUGGUCUGAGAGGAUGAUCAGUCACACUGGAACUGAGACACGGUCCAGACUCCUACGGGAGGCAGCAGUGAGGAAUCUUGCACAAUGGGCGAAAGCCUGAUGCAGCGACGCCGCGUGAGGGACGAAGGCCUUCGGGUUGUAAACCUCUGUCAGUGGGGAAGAAGAAUGACGG